Small nuclear RNA from Solanum dulcamara, 103 nucleotides. The record is from RefSeq and is a predicted model, not a curated record. NCBI's taxonomy places the organism in Eukaryota, Viridiplantae, Streptophyta, Magnoliopsida, Solanales, Solanaceae.
GUCUCUCAGGAGACGUUCGAUAAAAUUAGAACGAUAUAAAGAAGAUUAAUAUAAUCUUUACGUAAGAAUGACAUGUAACAAUCUAGAAAUAAUUUAAUAACUU